This 328-nucleotide long non-coding RNA is filed under the name Gossypium raimondii (Peruvian cotton). RNAcentral describes it as "long non-coding RNA (GRAI_LNC002078)". The record is from RNAcentral. Lineage: Eukaryota; Viridiplantae; Streptophyta; Magnoliopsida; Malvales; Malvaceae.
UGUGUUCGAAUCCCUAUACAGGAAAGGGUAUUAUUUUUGGCUCAGAUGUCGGGAUAGAGUUGUGUAAUAGGAGGAAUCUGAGUAGUGGAUGUGUAGUGGGAAUUAGAGGAGAAGAUUAAGGGAUUUUGGGGGUUAUCAAGAUUUUAUUUUAUUUUUUUCCCAUAACCAAAUUUUGACUCUCUUUUCUAAAAAAAACUCUGCCGUCUAUUCUUCUCCCUCUCCUCUCGCGAAAAUUCUUUGAGUUUUUCCAUCUUUCUUUUUUUUUCUUCUUCUUGAUUUUUCCCUAAUCCAUUUAUUUUCCUUCGUUUUCGCACGCGAUUAGUGCUCG